RNAcentral lists this ribosomal RNA (604 nucleotides) under uncultured beta proteobacterium. RNAcentral describes it as "bacterial SSU rRNA". It matches the Rfam family "Bacterial small subunit ribosomal RNA", at positions 83 to 683 of the family's 1533-position model. The record is from RNAcentral. Lineage: Bacteria; Pseudomonadati; Pseudomonadota; Betaproteobacteria.
UCCUGGUGGCGAGUGGCGAACGGGUGAGUAAUGUAUCGGAACGUGCCCAGUCGUGGGGGAUAACGUAGCGAAAGCUACGCUAAUACCGCAUACGAUCUAUGGAUGAAAGCGGGGGAUCGCAAGACCUCGCGCGAUUGGAGCGGCCGAUAUCAGAUUAGGUAGUUGGUGGGGUAAAGGCCCACCAAGCCGACGAUCUGUAGCUGGUCUGAGAGGACGACCAGCCACACUGGGACUGAGACACGGCCCAGACUCCUACGGGAGGCAGCAGUGGGGAAUUUUGGACAAUGGGCGCAAGCCUGAUCCAGCAAUGCCGCGUGCAGGAUGAAGGCCUUCGGGUUGUAAACUGCUUUUGUACGGAACGAAAAGGUCUGCACUAAUACUGUGGGCUCAUGACGGUACCGUAAGAAUAAGCACCGGCUAACUACGUGCCAGCAGCCGCGGUAAUACGUAGGGUGCAAGCGUUAAUCGGAAUUACUGGGCGUAAAGCGUGCGCAGGCGGUCUUGUAAGACAGGUGUGAAAUCCCCGGGCUUAACCUGGGAACCGCACUUGUGACUGCAAGGCUGGAGUACGGCAGAGGGGGAUGGAAUUCCGCGUGUAGCAGUG